GUGAGGAAUAUUGCGCAAUGGAGGCAACUCUGACGCAGCCAUGCCGCGUGCAGGAAGAAGGCGCUACGCGUUGUAAACUGCUUUUAACCGGGAAGAAACCCCAGGACGUGUCCUGGGUUGACGGUACCGGAGGAAUAAGCACCGGCUAACUUCGUGCCAGCAGCCGCGGUAAUACGAAGGGUGCAAGCGUUAUCCGGAUUCAUUGGGUUUAAAGGGUGCGUAGGCGGAGCGUUAAGUCAGUGGUGAAAUCCUGCAGCUUAACUGUAGACUUGCCAUUGAUACUGGCGCUCUUGAGUGCGCUUGAAGUGGGCGGAAUGUGCCGUGUAGCGGUGAAAUGCUUAGAUAUGGCACAGAACACCAAUUGCGAAGGCAGCUCACUAAGGCGAUACUGACGCUGAGGCACGAAAGCGUGGGGAUCGAACAGGAUUAGAUACCCUUGUAGUCC
This 445-nucleotide ribosomal RNA is filed under the name uncultured bacterium. RNAcentral's name for it is "bacterial SSU rRNA". It matches the Rfam family "Bacterial small subunit ribosomal RNA", at positions 354 to 796 of the family's 1533-position model. The record is from RNAcentral.